RNAcentral lists this ribosomal RNA (355 nucleotides) under uncultured bacterium. RNAcentral's name for it is "bacterial SSU rRNA". It matches the Rfam family "Bacterial small subunit ribosomal RNA", at positions 917 to 1271 of the family's 1533-position model. The record is from RNAcentral.
GGACCCGCACAAGCGGUGGAUGAUGUGGUUUAAUUCGAUGCAACGCGAAAAACCUUACCUACCCUUGACAUGUACGGAACUUGCCAGAGAUGGCUUGGUGCUCGAAAGAGAGCCGUAACACAGGUGCUGCAUGGCUGUCGUCAGCUCGUGUCGUGAGAUGUUGGUUAAGUCCCGCAACGAGCGCAACCCUUGUCAUUAGUUGCUACAUUUAGUUGGGCACUCUAAUGAGACUGCCGGUGACAAACCGGAGGAAGGUGGGGAUGACGUCAAGUCCUCAUGGCCCUUAUGGGUAGGGCUACACACGUCAUACAAGUGGCCUGGUACAAAGGGUUGCCAACCCGCGAGGGGAAGCUAA